ACAUAGCGCUUAAGGUAAGGAGGCUUUAGUUAGCGGCCCUGUAAACUCAGCUCAAGUGUUUCAAGUAAACAGACUAAUUACAACAGCACUGGAAGGACCAGCAUGUUUGCUCUGGGAGUGCAGCAAGCAUUGUUUUCUCAAAGCUACUGCAGGACCUUGGAGGCCUCUUAGCUCAGCAGCUACUACAAUUCACAAUGACAAGCAAGAGGCUGCAACCCUUACAACAUAAGAGUUGGUGAUUGGUGGAGUGAUGAGGAAGCCCAGAGAAAACCACAGAAAAGGUAAUACAACUCGUGAUGUACAGAGUGGAGUACAGAGAAGUUGCGGCUCACUGAAAUUAAGAUGAGUCUCCCAGUUGUGUAAACUACUAACAGAUAGUCACUUUCAAAAAGUGAUCAAAUAAUUGAAUCACCAGAGAUAUAUUAAAGGGCUUCCCUGUGGCUCAGAUGGUAGAGCAUCUGUCUGCAAUGUGGGAGAUCCAGGUUUGAUCCCUGGGCAGGG
This 501-nucleotide long non-coding RNA is filed under the name Capra hircus (goat). RNAcentral's name for it is "lncRNA (ENSCHIG00010017549.1)". The stretch from base 432 to 501 matches the Rfam family "tRNA". Lineage: Eukaryota; Metazoa; Chordata; Mammalia; Artiodactyla; Bovidae. The record is from RNAcentral.